AAUGGAAAAAUAGAAGCCUAUUUCCACAAAAUAUUGUUAAAUAGUUUAAUUGCUCUGGACUGCCUUCGUUCUUUUUUUUUUGUAUGAAGUGUGUGUGUGUGUGUGUGUGUGUGUGAACAGGAAAAGAGAGAAGACAGGGAAGAUGCUAUUUGCUUAAGCAACCGUGAGCACUCUGCUAUUCCCACAAAACAACAUGCUGAUUUCCUGGAUCAGAAAAUAGAACUCCCUGGAAAGUGCUCAUCACAGAAGUGACCUGCAAUUAAGACUUCUCCCAACUAUAAAUGUCAGCUGUUCUGAGAAAUCACCUCUGGACCCCUCAAAAUUUUUGCUAAUAAAGCACUUACAGUUAAAGAGGAAAUAACUACC
This 366-nucleotide long non-coding RNA is filed under the name Vulpes vulpes (red fox). RNAcentral describes it as "lncRNA (ENSVVUG00000020679.1)". The record is from RNAcentral. Lineage: Eukaryota; Metazoa; Chordata; Mammalia; Carnivora; Canidae.